This is a long non-coding RNA of Homo sapiens (human), 1219 nucleotides long. The record is from Ensembl. Lineage: Eukaryota; Metazoa; Chordata; Mammalia; Primates; Hominidae.
AGUCUCUGACACACCCAUAAAGGCAUGUUCAUCCAGUAUGCACACUGAGUGUCCUCCACAUUCCACAGAUUGUGAGAAGCACAGACACAUUACAGAGAAUGAGAUGGAUACAAUAUUGCCUUAAACGAACUGGUGGCCAAGCCAAAUUCUAACUGCAGAGAAUGAUCAGGAAGGAGCGAUUUGAGGAAAUAACAUGUGAGCUAGACUUUUAAGGAGGAGAAAGAGCCAGCUGCAGAAAGCCAGCAAGAAUGGUGUUUAAUGCAAAGAAAAUCAUAAACCGACCCCUAGCUGGAAAUGAUCCUAACCUGUGGAAGCUCCUGAAUUGAGUGAGGAACCGGCUGGCAGGAGAGCAUAACCCAGCUCAUCCUGACUGAUGCCACCAUUUCAAGAGAAGAGAAAUGAGACUGAGAAAGAUUAAGAUAUUUUCUUAAGAUUGGACACUGUGUUCCUACCCGUUGUGCUUGCCUUAUAGUCGAAAGAGAAUUUAUUUAAGCACAGAGAUCAAGCAAAAGUGGAGCACAGGACACACUUUCAAGUUGCCUUGGGGACUGCUCUGUAGAACAAAAAAGAAACUCAAGAUUUUAAGGAAUAAAAAGUACAAAUGAAGAGAAGGCAUGAUUACAAAAGUUGUUGAUCAGUAAUUCUCAUUGGUAGACAGAAAUACCAGUGGCUAAUGAUCGGCUAUACAUUGUUGAAUUAUAGGAUGUAUGGUAUUUAAAAUAUAUUUAUUUAAAACUAAAUUUUUUAAAGAUUUUUGAUGGGUUUAGGGGUACAGGUGCAGUUGUGUUACAUGGAUAUAUUGUGUAGAGGUGAAAUCUGAGCUUUUAAUGUACAACUACCCAAAUAAGAUACAUUGAACCCGAUAGGCAGCAUUUCACUUUCACCCUCAUUCUAUCCUCCCACCGUUUGGAGCCUCCAAUGUCUAUCAUUCAACUCAGUAAGUCCAUGUCCAUGGUUUAGCGCCCACGUAUAAGUGGGAAUGUGCAGUUCUUGAUUUUCUGUUUCUGAGUCAUUUCACUAAGGAUAAUGCCCUCCAGCUCCAUACACAUUGCUGCAAAAGUCAUAAUUUCAUUCACUUUUAUGGCUGAAUAGUAUUCCAUGGUAUAUAUCUACCAGAUUGUUUUAUUCAAUGAUGUGUUGAUGGACACUUAGGUUGAUUUCACAACUUUGCUAUUCUGAAUUGUGAUACAAUAAAUAUACAAAUGCAGAAGGCUUUUUU